GACGAACGCUGGCGGCGUGCUUAACACAUGCAAGUCGAACGGAAAGGCCCUGCUUGCAGGGUGCUCGAGUGGCGAACGGGUGAGUAACACGUGGGUGAUCUGCCCCUUAUUUUGGGAUAAGCCUGGGAAACUGGGUCUAAUACUGGAUAGGACCAUGCUGUAGGUGGUGUGGUGGAAAGAUUAGUUUCGGUAAGGGAUGAGCUCGCGGCCUAUCAGCUUGUUGGUGGGGUAAUGGCCUACCAAGGCGUCGACGGGUAGCCGGCCUGAGAGGGUGGACGGCCACAUUGGGACUGAGAUAUGGCCCAGACUCCUACGGGAGGCAGCAGUGGGGAAUAUUGCACAAUGGGCGCAAGCCUGAUGCAGCGACGCCGCGUGGGGGAUGACGGCCUUCGGGUUGUAAACUCCUUUCAGCCAUGACGAAGCCCUUGUGGUGACGGUAGUGGUAGAAGAAGCACCGGCUAACUACGUG
Molecule: ribosomal RNA, 469 nt
Filed under: uncultured bacterium
Lineage: Bacteria
Description: partial 16S ribosomal RNA
Rfam family: Bacterial small subunit ribosomal RNA
Source: RNAcentral